UGAGCAGGUCACCUUAUCGCUCCUUUCGAGGGGAGGAAAGUCCGGACACCAUAGUGCAGCAUAGCGGGUAACGCCCGUCCGUCGCAAGACGCGGACAAGUGCAACAGAAAGCAAGUACAGUUAGGCUGUAGUGAAAUCAGGUAAACUCUAUGCGGUGCAACGCCAUGUAAACCAGUGUUUGAGGGCUGCACGCCCGAGUUGGAGGGUAGGCGGAUUGAAUUUUUGGGCAACCAAAAGUCUAGAUAAAUGAUGAGGCUCGACAGAAUCCGGCUUAUGACCUGCUUUUUUU
RNAcentral lists this RNase P RNA (289 nucleotides) under Croceitalea sp. RNAcentral describes it as "RNase P RNA component class A". It matches the Rfam family "Bacterial RNase P class A". Rfam says of the family: Ribonuclease P (RNase P) is a ubiquitous endoribonuclease, found in archaea, bacteria and eukarya as well as chloroplasts and mitochondria. Its best characterised activity is the generation of mature 5'-ends of tRNAs by cleaving the 5'-leader elements of precursor-tRNAs. The record is from RNAcentral. Lineage: Bacteria; Pseudomonadati; Bacteroidota; Flavobacteriia; Flavobacteriales; Flavobacteriaceae.